This is an RNA transcript of Pan troglodytes (chimpanzee), 5669 nucleotides long. It is a transcript of the gene named parvin gamma, with no coding region annotated. The transcript is spliced from 14 exons. The record is from RefSeq and is a predicted model, not a curated record. Lineage: Eukaryota; Metazoa; Chordata; Mammalia; Primates; Hominidae.
CUCCGAGGGCUUGUGGGAGCCUCAGCUCAGGGGCGGGCAGGGGGCGUGGGGAAGUCUGCAGCCAAGAGUCCAGAGAGGAGGAAGCUCCUGCCGGCUGAGCGGGCCCUGGAGGAAGUGAGCAGCGGGGCUCCUGCCUCCCGGCCUGGUCCCCGAAGACCCCAGAAGAACCCGGAACUUGCUUCCAUUCGGAACCCAGGGACCACCCUUUGCGCCCAGUAGGCCUUUGUUUUCCUGCGUGGAAAGCGGUUGGGCUUGGGAGGCGAUGGAGCCGGAGUUCUUGUACGACCUGCUGCAGCUCCCCAAGGGGGUGGAGCCCCCAGCAGAGGAGGAGCUCUCAAAAGGAGGAAAGAAGAAAUACUUGCCACCCACUUCCCGGAAGGAUCCCAAAUUUGAAGAACUGCAGAAGGUGUUGAUGGAGUGGAUCAAUGCCACUCUUCUCCCCGAGCACAUUGUGGUCCGCAGCCUGGAGGAGGACAUGUUCGACGGGCUCAUCCUACACCACCUAUUCCAGAGGCUGGCGGCGCUCAAGCUGGAAGCAGAGGACAUCGCCCUGACAGCCACAAGCCAGAAGCACAAGCUCACAGUGGUGCUGGAGGCCGUGAACCGGAGUCUGCAGCUGGAGGAGUGGCAGGCCAAGUGGAGCGUGGAGAGCAUCUUCAACAAGGACCUGUUGUCCACCCUGCACCUCCUUGUGGCCCUGGCCAAGCGCUUCCAGCCCGACCUGCCCCUCCCAACCAACGUCCAGGUGGAGGUCAUCACUAUCGAGAGCACCAAAAGUGGUCUGAAGUCAGAGAAGUUGGUGGAACAGCUCACUGAAUACAGCACAGACAAGGACCAGCCUCCGAAGGACGUCUUUGAUGAAUUAUUUAAGCUGGCUCCGGAGAAAGUGAACGCAGUGAAAGAGGCCAUCGUGAACUUUGUCAACCAGAAGCUGGACCGCCUGGGCCUGUCUGUGCAGAAUCUGGACACCCAGUUUGCAGAUGGGGUCAUCUUACUCUUGCUGAUUGGACAACUUGAAGGCUUCUUUCUGCACUUAAAGGAAUUCUACCUCACUCCCAACUCUCCUGCAGAAAUGACCGGCAGGUCGGCUGAGUUUAGCUGCUAGAGCCUCAGCUAGGCUUUGUCACUCCUCCGAGGACUGGAUGGGGAUCAGGCUGUCGUGGCUGGGUGGCUCGGCUCUGUGCCACAGCCUGCCAUGUUCCUUCUGGGACCAGCAGCUGGCCCGGGCACGCUUUCCUCCUGGCAAUGGCAGACACAUGAGAGACCAGGCAGAAGGCAUGAGGCCCUGGCUCAGAAUGGGCAGGCUGCCACUUCCAUCGAAGCAGGCCCUGUGGCCUUGACAGUGACAUGGGACAGCCCUGCAAAGUGUGUGGGUGCAGAAUUGGGCCGAUGGUGGGAUCUCACACGGGCAGUGUGGACGAAUGUGCUAGCAAAUCCUCAUGUUGGGUCUUGGAGUUAGGAACUCUUCCCAUCCCCAUUUCCACAGAGGAAACAGUUGAGAGAGGCACAGAAGUCUGGCCCAGAGCACACAGUGAGUUAGGGUCCUCCCUGUUUCCCUCCUGUGGAGCCAGUGUGAAUCUCUGGGAGAUGGAGGCGUGGCAGGGCUCAGUGGGGUUGAAGCCAAGGCUGAGACUGGGGUCAGAGCCUGCCUCGGGAAGGCAAGGCACUGAAAUGUGAGCGGUGAGGAGAGAAGGCGGAGGAAGGGGGCAGGCAGGACCACCUGCGGGCUGAGGGCCUGGGGCUCGGAACCCAGCUCAGAGCCACUCUGGGGUGCCCCUGGGCUGCAGGGCCUCUGCUCAAUCUGUUGCACCAUCCAAGCCCCAGUUACAAGACGGGAACAAACGUGCAGACUUCCAUGUUGCUGUGUGCAGCCGCUUUGCUGAAUCCACUGAUUUUAGAACUUACUUCUGAAUAUGAGUCAGAUUAGAUGUGGGGGAAAAGCAGCAGCCUCUUAGCUCAGACUCCAAGAAUGAAUUUUUACAGCAUACUGUGGGCAAUCUCUGCUGCAGGAAUGUGUAAUCAAAAUGCUGAAGAGGUCGUCAGCUGAGGAGGGCGGGAACACCAGCCCUUGCUGAAGGUGGGCCUCUGCGGAAUUGUUAUCUUGGCAGAGUAGCCUCUUGAAAUUGGAUUUCUCAUUAUCAGACCCUCUUUGCUGAUGGUGUUUAUGUGAGGUAGUUAUUCGUUGUGGGCACGGAAGUUAAGGACGGAGGGAGAGAGGAUCAUUCGCUCCCAGAAAUAAAAUCCCCGGAGCCAGGAGUCCUUGGCGUCCUUCCACGCUAAAUUAUUCUCCCCAGGAGGAUUUGCACGUAUCCUCCCGGGUUGUAACCUUCUCUCAGCUCCGUGGAAGGUGGUAGUUUUAUCUUCAUCUCAAGCCACACGCGGAAGAAAAAUCUCUGGACAGAGGAUCGUGAGAUAGCUCUGGAGCCAGGGUCAGCUCUUCUGGGGGAUGAUCUUUUGUUCAGAUUGAGUGUCAUUGAGGAAGAGUGUGACAAACAGAAGCAGAUGUCAUAAUUUUCAGUGUCGAUAGCAAUUCCCAAAGCAUAAGCUCCAUGAGGGCAGGAGGUCUGGUCUGUUUUGGGCACUGGUUGUAUGGCUAGCACAUAGUAGAUGACAAGUAUUUUUUUAAAUAAGUGAAUGAACAAAGUGUUUCCAAAACAUUGGUCCCAGGAGGUGUUCUGUGACAAAUGGGUUCUAUGAAUAAAUAACUUGGGGAAACAUGUCCAGUCUUGAAGGUUCAUGAGACCCACUAACACAUUCAAGGCUCUAAUAAGUCCUGCAGUGAAGGACUUCCAUAGUAUUUUAUUUAAUCCAACAAUUUCUAAAAACGUUUGGCCACAGAUAUCCCUUUUCCUGUCCAUCUUAGAUCACAGUUUGGGAGAUGCUGGCUCACUGAAUGUAUCAAAGGCGGAGCUUUGAGGCAGGAGAGCACAGUGUGGAGUCUGGAACCUCAGGUUCCUCAGGGUCUUGUUCUCACUCCGACAUUUACUCUCCAUGUAACUGCAAAUAAUAUUCAUGAUGAGAAUGCGAACAAUAGCAACAAUUGCAACCCUAGUUUCCCAGAAUAUUCCAGUCUAGGAGGAAGAACUGGGGACACAGUGAUGGGAACUUCUGGUGAUGCUCUGGUCUGUCCACUCGGAGCUUCCCAUCCAUCUUGGUCUGGACAGUCUCAGAGUUUCACCCCGCAUUGGCCCCUGCAGCAUGCUGCAACAUUGGUGCCGUGUGAUAGCCUUUGUUUCACUCUUGUCACCCAGGAUGGAGUGCAAUGGUGCAAUCUUGGCUCACUGCAACCUCCGCCUCCUGGGUUCAAGCAAUUCUCCUGCCUCAGCCUCCCAAGUAGCUGGGAUUACAGGCACGUGCCACCACACCCAGCUAAUUUUUGUAUUUUUAGUAGAGACAGGGUUUCGCCAUGUUGGCCAGGCUGGUCUCGAACUCCUGACCUCAGGUGAUCUGCCCACUUUGGCCUCUCAAAGUGCUGGGAUUACAGGAAUGAGCCACCGUGCCUAGCCUGUUUCUUCUUGUUGGCUGACUACAGAGGAGCGGCCCUGCUGCUGCUGCUGGCCACCCUGCCCAUGCACUCCUUUCCAUCUGGGACCCGCCCCCUCCAUCUUCAUGUCCCCAAGUGGAGAAGGACUCUGUUCACCCACUUCCAGCUCCUGUGCCUUCAUCAUCCUCACCUUCAAAUCUUGCUUUGUGGCUUCAAUUCUGUGUCCGUCAUCACAUUGGACGCACAUGGCAGCCUUGGAGAGGAAGGCAGACAGGUGUAUCAUCCCCGUGACACAGAUGAGGCACCCGAGGCCCAGCCAGGAUGUAUGACUUGUCCGAGGUCAGACACUUAGUGGCAGGGGUGGGGGUGGCAGUGCACAGACAUCCAAGCUAGAUCCCAAGAGUCCUCUUGCUCGGGCCCUCCAGCAGGUGGCUGGAGGUGGCCUGGGCCAGGCUGGCGUUUCUGGAUGAGUCUUGCCUGGCCUUGCUCAUCCACCGCUCGGCCAACCUGGCCUCUUGGCCCCUGGCGGGUUGCCAUGGGAACUGCCCUGCCCUGGUGGGGCUGGUGUGGCCAGGCAGAUAGGGAGGGAACGGGACCAGCACAGCUGACCCCCGGGCUGGGAUGUCCACCCCCUCUAGUGGAUCUACGGGUGGCUAAGGCAUUGAAGGGAGGACCUGUUUGAGGUCACAGUGAACCAGGAGUUCAUCCCUCUUCACCCACACCAGGCUGCUGCCCUAAGGCAAAGGGCUGGGACCUACUCUGCUUGUAGAUGAGGCCCAAGGGAGAAGCUAGAAUGGAAAGGGAGGGGACCUACCGUGGGAGGGCCGGCAGGCUCCUGGGCUCUCACCAUAUCCUGUAGCAAGGCACAGGGGAACUGUGGUGAGCCCACUUUGCAGGGGAGCAAGGGGAGGCCCUGGGCAGGGACCAAGCUGAGCUCUGAAUCACUGGGGGACCUGACUGAUGCCCGGGCGCUCUCCACCCUAAAGGGAGCCAUCUCUGAGACUGCACCCCAGGCAAGGGGUGGCGGAAAGGACAGCCACCUGGGUGGGGACUGCUCCAGUCUCUAGCCUGCUUUGCAUGAGCAUUGGAGCGGACAGACCUGGUUUGAGCGCUUUCUGUCUCGUGAGCUCCAGGGAGCCCCUUGGCUCCUCUGAGCCUUGAUUUCCUCACUGUGCUUUGCCCUGGGAAACAGCUGUUCUCAAAGGGGCUCUGCCACCCCAGGCCCUUGCUCCUUUCCCUGUGUAGUUCUUCCUGCCUGGCGGGACUCACCACCAGGCUUCACCUCCACCAGGAAGCCUUCCCUGAUCCCUAUUGGAUGUCCUCCUUGGUGAUUGCCUUUUUCACGGGCAGUGGCCCCUGGACGCAAGCGUGUGCCCAGUGUGGUAUAGCACCUGCUCAGAGUGGGGCCUGUGAGUGGCUGAGGAAUGAGACAUGGAUUGCUUGUGUGACAGAGUGAGCUGUAGGGAGAUGCUGGAUGACCACGGAUUGUGGUCGUGGUCAGGGAUGCCCACCUUGGAUGGGAGUUUAGGCUCAUGAUGGACAUCACAGACAACAGGAAGGGCUUGGCACUUGGGACCCAGGGCCUGGCCUGGGGCUGCUGCUUGUGCCCACAUCUGAUAGGGCCUUGUCAUCAUAGCUGCACAACGUCACCCUGGCGCUGGAGCUGCUGAAGGACGAGGGCCUGCUCAGCUGCCCUGUCAGCCCUGAAGGAGCGUUCAGAGGAGGACUGGCCAGGAGGAGGAGGCAGUCACGCAGCAGGCGCGGGACCCAGGCCUGGAGUGACCAGCUGUCCUGGCUUCCAGGGAUUCUCCUGGGAUUAGCACUGAAAUCCUGAAUGCCAGGAAACCUUGACCACAUCGGGACAGUCGGUCACUGCCACCCAGGCCUGACUGGCUGCCGUGCCCUCCUUUGGCCCGCAGAUAUCGUGAACAAGGAUGCCAAGAGCACACUGCGGGUGCUCUAUGGCCUGUUCUGCAAGCACACGCAGAAGGCACACAGGGACAGGACGCCCCGUGGAGCCCCGAAUUGACCCUCACUGCCCCCAAAGCCCAGAGCCUGCCUGUCAGCCCAGCUGGAGGGCCCGAGGCUGCAGGGUGUCCUCCCACAGUCCCGCUGUUUCCUGUGCAUUCAUGACCCACUUCCCUCCCACCCUGUCUCCUGUCUCCAACAUUGGAUUAUCUUUGAA